GACGAACGCUGGCGGCGUGCCUAACACAUGCAAGUCAAGGAGAAUGGGGUAGCAAUAUCCCUAGUAAACUGGCGCACGGGUGAGUAACACGCAGGCAACCUGCCUAUAGGACGGGGAUAACUCAGCGAAAGCUGGACUAAUACCCGAUAAUGCAGCGGCACCGCAUGGUGAUGUUGUUAACGCCCGAAAGGGCGCCUAUAGAUGGGCCUGCGUCCCAUUAGGUAGUUGGUGAGGUAACGGCCCACCAAGCCUACGAUGGGUAGCUGGUCUGAGAGGAUGAUCAGCCACACUGGAACUGAGACACGGUCCAGACUCCUACGGGUGGCAG
This 328-nucleotide ribosomal RNA is filed under the name uncultured Chlorobiota bacterium. RNAcentral describes it as "bacterial SSU rRNA". It matches the Rfam family "Bacterial small subunit ribosomal RNA", at positions 28 to 351 of the family's 1533-position model. The record is from RNAcentral. Lineage: Bacteria; Pseudomonadati; Chlorobiota.